AUUCAGAGCUAGAAAAACAAAAGGUAGUGUACCUGUGGACUUCCUGGUGCUCGGACGGUAAAGACUGCCUGCAAUGCGGGAGACCCGGGUUCAACCCCUGGGUCGGGAAGAAGGUUCAAUUCCUUCCUGGAGAAGGAAACGGCAACCCGCUCCAGUAUUCUUGCCUGGAAGAUUCUACGGACGGAGGAACCUGGUAGGCUACAGUCCAUGGGGUCGCAAAGAGUCGGACACGACUGAGCGACUUCACGCCCUUGGUCUGGAACAUGAUGGCCCAGUCACUUGCUCUGAGGGAUGCCUACCAUGGUGCAAGCUGCCCUACAGAUAGACGCACAUGGCAAGGACCCAAGGAGACCUCUGACCAACAGCCGAUGGGAGCCUGACACCCUCCGUCCAACAUCCUGAGAGAAAAUGACUCCUGCCAGUAACCACAUGGAGGAGACUGAAAGCAGCCUCAAGGGCCUUGGUGGAGCUUUCGGGUGAUGACUCAGCUCCAGGCAAGGUCUUCACGGCAGCUUUGUGAGACUCCUACCGGGAGACACCUAGC
This is a long non-coding RNA of Bos taurus (domestic cattle), 544 nucleotides long. Lineage: Eukaryota; Metazoa; Chordata; Mammalia; Artiodactyla; Bovidae. The record is from Ensembl.